CCACCCUCCAACCCUAAACACUGAAUGGCGACCGAUAGCGCAUAGUACCGUGAGGGAAAGGUGAAAAGAACCCCGGGAGGGGAGUGAAAGAGAACCUGAAACCGUAUGUCUACAAGCAGUCGGAGCGAAAGCGACGGCGUGCCUAUUGAAGAAUGAACCAACGAGUUACGUGCACUAGCGAGGUUAAGUGGAAGACACGGAGCCGAAGCGAAAGCGAGUCUUAAGAGGGCGGAUAGUUAGUGUACGUAGACCCGAAACCGCAGUGAUCUACCCAUGUCCAGGUUGAAGCGCAGGUAAAAUUGCGUGGAGGACCGAACCUGUGAGCGUUGAAAAGCUUUAGGAUGAGAUGUGGGUAGAGGUGAAAUUCCAAUCGAACGCGGAGAUAGCUGGUUCUCCCCGAAAUAGCUUUAGGGCUAGCCUCAAGUAGUAAGUAUAGGCGGUAGAGCACUGAUCGGGCUAGGGGCCAUAAAGGUUACCGAACCCUGUCAAACUCCGAAUGGUUAUACUGUAGAGCUUGGGAGUCAGACUACGAGUGAUAAGAUCCGUGGUCAAAAGGGAAACAGCCCAGACCACCAGCUAAGGUCCCCAAUGUCGUACUAAGUGGAAAAGGAUGUGGGGUCUCUAAAACAACCAGGAUGUUGGCUUAGAAGCAGCCACCAUUUAAAGAGUGCGUAAUAGCUCACUGGUCGAGAGACCCUGCGCCGAAGAUUACCGGGGCUAAAGUACGAAACCGAAGCUGUGGCUACGACAUAUGUCGUGGGGUAGGGGAGCGAUCUGUGAGGGCUGAAGUCGUUCUGUAAGGAACGGUGGACUUCACAGAAGUGAGAAUGUUGGUAUGAGUAGCGAAAAGAAUGGUGAGAAUCCAUUCCACCGAAAGCAUAAGGAUUCCUGGGCAACGAUCGUCGUCCCAGGGUAAGUCGGGACCUAAUCCGAGGCAUGGAGCGUAGGAGAUGGACAACUGGCAGAUAUUCCAGUACCGGUAAUGAUUGUUUGAGCGAUGGAGUGACACAGGAGGGCAGGCAGGCAGGAGAUUGGUUGUUCCUGUACAAGCGUGUAGGAUGGGACGCAGGCAAAUCCGCGUCCUGUGAGUCUGAGGCGUGAUGUGGAGGUUCCGGAAACGGAACUGAAGCUGCUGACCCCACACUGUCGAGAAAAGCUUCUAGUUAGAGAAUUACCGCCCGUACCGUAAACCGACACAGGUAUGCGGGGAGAGAAUCCUAAGGUGCGCGGGAGAACCCUCGUUAAGGAACUCGGCAAAAUGUACCCGUAACUUCGGGAUAAGGGUAGCCGCUGUUGUGAAGUCUGAACAGACGGAGCAUGAGGCGGUCGCAGAGAAGAGGCCCAAGCGACUGUUUACCACAAACACAGGUGCCUGCUAAAGAGAAAUCUGACGUAUAGGUGCUGACACCUGCCCAGUGCCGGAAGGUUAAGGAAGGAUGUCCGGAGCAAUCCAAAGCAUUCGACCGAAGCCCCGGUGAACGGCGGCCGUAACUAUAACGGUCCUAAGGUAGCGAAAUUCCUUGUCGGGUAAG
RNAcentral lists this ribosomal RNA (1532 nucleotides) under human gut metagenome. RNAcentral's name for it is "bacterial LSU rRNA". It matches the Rfam family "Bacterial large subunit ribosomal RNA", at positions 453 to 1980 of the family's 2925-position model. The record is from RNAcentral.